Molecule: ribosomal RNA, 465 nt
Filed under: Vreelandella stevensii
Lineage: Bacteria; Pseudomonadati; Pseudomonadota; Gammaproteobacteria; Oceanospirillales; Halomonadaceae
Description: partial 16S ribosomal RNA
Rfam family: Bacterial small subunit ribosomal RNA
Source: RNAcentral
CCUACGGGUGGCUGCAGUGGGGAAUAUUGGACAAUGGGCGAAAGCCUGAUCCAGCCAUGCCGCGUGUGUGAAGAAGGCCUUCGGGUUGUAAAGCACUUUCAGUGGGGAAGAAAGCCUUGGGGCUAAUACCCUCGAGGAAGGACAUCACCCACAGAAGAAGCACCGGCUAACUCCGUGCCAGCAGCCGCGGUAAUACGGAGGGUGCGAGCGUUAAUCGGAAUUACUGGGCGUAAAGCGCGCGUAGGCGGUCUGAUAAGCCGGUUGUGAAAGCCCCGGGCUCAACCUGGGAACGGCAUCCGGAACUGUCAGGCUAGAGUGCAGGAGAGGAAGGUAGAAUUCCCGGUGUAGCGGUGAAAUGCGUAGAGAUCGGGAGGAAUACCAGUGGCGAAGGCGGCCUUCUGGACUGAAACUGACGCUGAGGUGCGAAAGCGUGGGUAGCAAACAGGAUUAGAUACCCUGGUAGUC